Molecule: ribosomal RNA, 914 nt
Filed under: uncultured marine archaeon
Lineage: Archaea
Description: bacterial SSU rRNA
Rfam family: Archaeal small subunit ribosomal RNA
Source: RNAcentral
UUCCGGUUGAUCCUGCCGGACCUGACUGCUAUCGGAUUGAUACUAAGCCAUGCGAGUCUUUGUAGUAAUACAAGGCAUACGGCUCAGUAACGCGUAGUCAACCUACCCUAUGGACAAGAAUAAUCUCGGGAAACUGAGCAUAAUUCUUGAUAGAUCAUAAUGCCUGGAAUGGUUUAUGGUUAAAAUGAUUCGUCGCCAUAGGAUGGGACUGCGGCCUAUCAGCUUGUUGGUGAGGUAAUGGCCCACCAAGGCGAUUACAGGUACGGGCUCUGAGAGGAGAAGCCCGGAGAUGGGUACUGAGACAAGGACCCAGGCCCUAUGGGGCGCAGCAGGCGAGAAAACUUUGCAAUGUGCGAAAGCACGACAAGGUUAGUCCGAGUGAUUUCUGCUAAAGAGAUCUUUUGCUAGUUAUAAAACCACUAGUGAAUAAGGGGUGGGCAAGUUCUGGUGUCAGCCGCCGCGGUAAAACCAGCACCUCAAGUGGUCAGGAUGAUUAUUGGGCCUAAAGCAUCCGUAGCCGGCUCUGUAAGUUUUCGGUUAAAUCUAUGCGCUCAACGUAUGGGCUGCCGAAAAUACUGUAGAGAUAGGGAGUGGGAGAGGUAGACGGUACUCGGUAGGAAGGGGUAAAAUCCUUUGAUCUAUCGAUGACCACCUGUGGCGAAGGCGGUCUACCAGAACACGUUCGACGGUGAGGGAUGAAAGCUGGGGGAGCAAACCGGAUUAGAUACCCGGGUAGUCCCAGCCGUAAACGAUGCAGACUCGAUGAUGCGUUGGCAUAUAGCCAGUGCAGUGUCGCAGGGAAGCCGUUAAGUCUGCCGCCUGGGAAGUACGUACGCAAGUAUGAAACUUAAAGGAAUUGGCGGGGGAGCACCACAAGGGGUGAAGCCUGCGGUUCAAUUGGAUUCAACGCCGGG